RNAcentral lists this ribosomal RNA (497 nucleotides) under uncultured bacterium. Its description in RNAcentral is "partial 16S ribosomal RNA". It matches the Rfam family "Bacterial small subunit ribosomal RNA", at positions 28 to 507 of the family's 1533-position model. The record is from RNAcentral.
GAUGAACGCUGGCGGCGUGCCUAAUACAUGCAAGUCGAGCGAACAGACGGGGAGCUUGCUCCUCUGACGUUAGCGGCGGACGGGUGAGUAACACGUGGAUAACCUACCUAUAAGACUGGGAUACCUUCGGGAAACCGGAGCUACUACCGGAUAAUAUAUUGAACCGCAUGGUUCAAUAGUGAAAGUCGGUUUUGCUGUCACUUAUAGAUGGCUCCGCGCCGCAUUAGCUAGUUGGUAAGGUAACGGCUUACCAAGGCGACGAUGGGUACCCGACCUGAGAGGGUGAUUGGCCAGACUGGAACUGAGACAGGGUCCAGACUCUUACGGGAGGAAGCGGUAGGGAAUCUUCCGCAAUGGGCGAGAGCCUGAUGGAGCAAAGCGGCGUAAGUGAUGAAGGAGUUCGGAUGGGAAAACUCUGUUAGUAGGAAAGUACAAAUGUGUAAGUAACUAUGAACGUCUUGACGGUACCUAAUGAAAAAGCCACGGCUAACUACGUG